UGAAGGAGACCAAGAACCAGGACUGGAGCCAGGAGAGAUGUUAGAUCAGAAGGACCGUGCUGUGUUUACUCAGAGGGUAAAGACGAAGUCAGUGUCACCAGGCUUCCUCCCUCCCCUCCACCAGGACUGCACAGUCAUCCUACAUGAACCAGGCUACAGGACACGGCCCAUGUCCACUCCCAUCACUGCAAAGGGACCACACGGCUUCUAAGGCCCAGAGCAGCUGGACAACUGAAGACUCCCUCCUGGCAAUCACGCCACACUGCUUAUUAUACUUAAUAGGGGAUAAGAUAAAGUGACGUUCUUUCUAGUCUCU
This 316-nucleotide long non-coding RNA is filed under the name Chinchilla lanigera (long-tailed chinchilla). RNAcentral describes it as "lncRNA (ENSCLAG00000026471.1)". Lineage: Eukaryota; Metazoa; Chordata; Mammalia; Rodentia; Chinchillidae. The record is from RNAcentral.